GGCUCAGGAUGAACGCUGGCGGCGUGCUUAACACAUGCAAGUCGAACGAAGAUGCCGGAGUGCUUGCACUUUGGCAGACUGAGUGGCGGACGGGUGAGUAACGCGUGGGUAACCUGCCUUAUACAGGGGGAUAACAGUUGGAAACGACUGCUAAUACCGCAUAAGCGCACGGUAUCGCAUGAUACAGUGUGAAAAACUCCGGUGGUAUAAGAUGGACCCGCGUCUGAUUAGCUUGUUGGUGAGGUAACGGCCCACCAAGGCGACGAUCAGUAGCCGACUUGAGAGAGUGAUCGGCCACAUUGGGACUGAGACACGGCCCAAACUCCUACGGGAGGCAGCAGUGGGGAAUAUUGCACAAUGGGCGAAAGCCUGAUGCAGCGACGCCGCGUGAGUGAAGAAGUAUUUCGGUAUGUAAAGCUCUAUCAGCAGGGAAGAAAAUGACGGUACCUGACUAAGAAGCCCCGGCUAACUACGUG
Molecule: ribosomal RNA, 476 nt
Filed under: uncultured bacterium
Lineage: Bacteria
Description: bacterial SSU rRNA
Rfam family: Bacterial small subunit ribosomal RNA
Source: RNAcentral